RNAcentral lists this long non-coding RNA (265 nucleotides) under Mytilus galloprovincialis (Mediterranean mussel). Lineage: Eukaryota; Metazoa; Mollusca; Bivalvia; Mytilida; Mytilidae. The record is from RNAcentral.
AAUGUAACAAGAGUGCACACACUGAAUUGUCUCGCCUUCUUUACUAAUCAUUGAUAUUAUGUUGAUAGUCCUAAGUAUAAAGCUUUAUUACAACUGUCACAUAAACUUAACAUUAACCAAGAUAGCUAAACAAAGACCAAUGAACCAUGAAAAUGAGGUCAAGGUCAGAUGAACCAUGCCAGGCAGACAUGUACAGCUAACAAUGCUUCCAUACAACAAAUAUAGUUGACCUAUUACUUAUAGUUUAAGAAAAAUAGACCAAAAC